Long non-coding RNA from Hibiscus syriacus, 150 nucleotides. RefSeq lists it as uncharacterized. The transcript has 3 exons. Lineage: Eukaryota; Viridiplantae; Streptophyta; Magnoliopsida; Malvales; Malvaceae. The record is from RefSeq and is a predicted model, not a curated record.
GCGGCAGCAACCUUGGCUUUGCCGGAGUCGGGAGCAAAGGAGCUUGAUUGUGAAAUUCCUAUAGCUGCCAUAGUCAAAGCAAAGAAAACCUGCAAAGAAGAUGUCAAACUCAGUAUCAUAGGGACAUGAAUAUAAACUAAAAAGGUUUCG